AAGCCUUUGAUAAUAGGUAGAAGUGGGAUUAAGGUUUAGUUGUUGUUUGUUUAUGUAGUUUGUUUAUUGAAUCUUAGCAUGGAAGAUCGUAUGUAUGUCUGCCUUUGGGCUUUAGAUAAUUAGAUCAAUGCGAUAAAGGGCUGAUGUGGGAGCAACCCUUAAGUUCAGAUCUACUGAUUAAAAAGAACAGAGAAAACUUCGCGAUUAAAAGUGCCUGCUUGAAAAUCCCACUUUUUGGUCUCCAAGUCUUAAUUUUUCUUUACCAUUGUUUGCAUCUAAUUUGUCAGUAUCAUUUAAUGAUACAGAUUAUUGUUUUCUAAUGUGUUAAAAUAUUUGAGUUUGUA
This 344-nucleotide unclassified non-coding RNA is filed under the name Hevea brasiliensis (rubber tree). Lineage: Eukaryota; Viridiplantae; Streptophyta; Magnoliopsida; Malpighiales; Euphorbiaceae. The record is from RNAcentral.